This 468-nucleotide ribosomal RNA is filed under the name uncultured bacterium. RNAcentral's name for it is "partial 16S ribosomal RNA". It matches the Rfam family "Bacterial small subunit ribosomal RNA", at positions 28 to 507 of the family's 1533-position model. The record is from RNAcentral.
GACGAACGCUGGCGGCGUGCUUAACACAUGCAAGUCGAACGGAAAGGCCCUGCUUUUGUGGGGUGCUCGAGUGGCGAACGGGUGAGUAACACGUGAGUAACCUGCCCUUGACUUUGGGAUAACUUCAGGAAACUGGGGCUAAUACCGGAUAGGAGCUCCUGGUGCAUGGUGGGGGUUGGAAAGUUUCGGCGGUUGGGGAUGGACUCGCGGCUUAUCAGCUUGUUGGUGGGGUAGUGGCUUACCAAGGCUUUGACGGGUAGCCGGCCUGAGAGGGUGACCGGCCACAUUGGGACUGAGAUACGGCCCAGACUCCUACGGGAGGCAGCAGUGGGGAAUAUUGCACAAUGGGCGGAAGCCUGAUGCAGCAACGCCGCGUGCGGGAUGACGGCCUUCGGGUUGUAAACCGCUUUCGCCUGUGGCGAAGCGUGAGUGACGGUAAUGGGUAAAGAAGCACCGGCUAACUACGUG